This 301-nucleotide ribosomal RNA is filed under the name uncultured bacterium. RNAcentral describes it as "partial 16S ribosomal RNA". It matches the Rfam family "Bacterial small subunit ribosomal RNA", at positions 509 to 807 of the family's 1533-position model. The record is from RNAcentral.
CAGCAGCCACGGUAAUACGAAGGGGGCUAGCGUUGUUCGGAUUUACUGGGCGUAAAGGGCGCGUAGGCGGACUGAUAAGUCAGGGGUGAAAUCCCAAGGCUCAACCUUGGAACUGCCUUUGAUACUGUUUGUCUUGAGUUCGAGAGAGGUAAGUGGAACUGCGAGUGUAGAGGUGAAAUUCGUAGAUAUUCGCAAGAACACCAGUGGCGAAGGCGGCUUACUGGCUCGAAACUGACGCUGAGGCGCGAAAGCGUGGGGAGCAAACAGGAUUAGAUACCCGAGUAGUCCCUGUCUCUUAUAC